UUGAUCUUAUGAUUGAUUUUGAUGAUUCUAAAAUAUUGAGCAUAAUUAAUACUAAUUAUAUGUUUCAAAAAUGAAUGUAGGAGUUUUCAGAUGCUUAAAUUGAAAAAUUCAUCUAUAGAAAAGAUCCCCUUAAGGAUGUCAAGCUAAAGUACUUCAAAGAAUAAAAUUGUACAAAACUAGCUCAAAGGAGUCGAUCUCAAGACAAGAGGAGUCAAUUUUG
RNAcentral lists this long non-coding RNA (220 nucleotides) under Elaeis guineensis (African oil palm). RNAcentral describes it as "long non-coding RNA (EGUI_LNC014844)". Lineage: Eukaryota; Viridiplantae; Streptophyta; Magnoliopsida; Arecales; Arecaceae. The record is from RNAcentral.